Molecule: unclassified non-coding RNA, 272 nt
Filed under: uncultured fungus
Lineage: Eukaryota; Fungi
Description: partial contains 5.8S ribosomal RNA, internal transcribed spacer 2, and large subunit ribosomal RNA
Rfam family: 5.8S ribosomal RNA (bases 1-52)
Source: RNAcentral
AACGCACAUUGCGCCCUUUGGUAUUCCGAAGGGCAUGCCUGUUCGAGCGUCAUUAUCACCCCUCAAAGCCCCGGGCUUUGGUGUUGGAUGGCCUGGCUGGGCGUUUUACCGCCCGGCCCCUCCUAAAGACAAUGACGGCGGUCCGUGGAGCCCCCGGUACACUGAGCAUAUCUGCAUGUACCGGCAACGAAAGGGCGCCCGGGCGACGGUCUGAACCCCCUUAUUUUCUCAAGGUUGACCUCGGAUCAGGUAGGGAUACGCGCUGAACUUAA